CGACCGGCGCACGGGUGAGUAACACGUAUGCAACCUGGCCGUCACAGGUGGAUAACCGGAAGAAAUUCCGACUAAUACAGCAUAACACUCCUGAGGGACAUCCUUCGGGAGUCAAAGGAGGCAACUCCGGUGACGGAUGGGCAUGCGGCGCAUUAGGUAGUUGGUAGGGUAACGGCCUACAAGCCGACGAUGCGUAGGGGUUCUGAGAGGAAGGUCCCCCACAUUGGAACUGAGACACGGUCCAAACUCCUACGGGAGGCAGCAG
RNAcentral lists this ribosomal RNA (265 nucleotides) under uncultured bacterium. RNAcentral describes it as "partial 16S ribosomal RNA". It matches the Rfam family "Bacterial small subunit ribosomal RNA", at positions 92 to 354 of the family's 1533-position model. The record is from RNAcentral.